AUGUCAAACUUCUCUAACACUGACCGAGUUUGUAGGACAAAUAUAUACUAGCAUCUACAAUACCAAAUAAAUGCACUAUCAAGAGUCAAGACAAAUUUCAUGGUGGAUUUGAUGAAACUAAUUUGAUUUUGUAUGUGUUGGUCCAUUUUUUCAAUAAACUUGGUCAAAGUUAGAGAAGUUUGACUUAG
This 188-nucleotide microRNA precursor is filed under the name Sorghum bicolor (sorghum). RNAcentral describes it as "miR437p stem-loop (sbi-MIR437p)". Its record names the gene sbi-MIR437p. The record is from miRBase by way of RNAcentral. Lineage: Eukaryota; Viridiplantae; Streptophyta; Magnoliopsida; Poales; Poaceae.